This is a long non-coding RNA of Arachis duranensis, 4167 nucleotides long. RefSeq lists it as uncharacterized. Lineage: Eukaryota; Viridiplantae; Streptophyta; Magnoliopsida; Fabales; Fabaceae. The transcript is spliced from 6 exons. The record is from RefSeq and is a predicted model, not a curated record.
GUUUUAAAAGUGAUGCCUAAUGUAUUUAGAGGCAAAAACCUGACAAUUGAUAACCCUCUUUUUCCCGAAAGAAAACUUACACUUAGUGAUUUUUUUUUUAAUUCCCUCCAAAGGUCAUCACUCACCUCGUGAAGAAACCCUCUCACCACUCACCAUCGCCACUGACCACUCACCAUCGCGCCGAAACCCUCUCACCAUCACGAAGAAACCCACUUAUCACCACCCACCACUGACCGUCACUCCUGUUCGCCCUCAUCUAUGCGCUUCUCACCUUCGCCAACCUUGUUGCACACAACCCUCACCUUCGUCAUUCUCACCGUCGUUGAUGACCGUCGCUGUUGUUGCGCUGACCAUCGCUUUUCUUCUCAGUUCUACCCUAAUCGUCUUCUCCGUGCCCUAAUCGCUGAUGACGGUCGUUGUUCUGACCAUCGCUGUUGCUGCGCCACCGUCACCAUGAUCAUCUCCGUGCUUCUCAUCAUCGUCUUCACUGUGCUCACAUCGUUGAAUAUAUUGAAGCAGCAAUAACCAAGGAUGAGCUUCAGCACCUCGCUUUGCUGUUCAAAUCUGAAUUUGAUUCAAUUGGUCAAAUCACUGCUGGAGUUUUGCGGCUGCUUAAGCUGGAAGGUUCUGUUGGUCAGGCUAUAAUAGAUCAACUUGGUAACCUAGGCUAUCUUCAACGGGUAGUGUGAAGUCAUUGCUUUGUGAAAUAGCCUACAUGAACAACUCUGGAACAUUAGUUUAAUUUGCAACCUCUCUUUCUCCGGAGAAAUUGAGCACAUUGAGAUCUUCAGGUACCAUGGCUCCAUUAUCGUCAAUUCCUUGUUUUCCUUUUAUAGUUAAAGUGCUUCAAACGUAGCUCUUGAACUAGAUGUAUACUUUUAGUGUUAGUCUUUUGAGUGCUUCUUUCAUUUUUUAAAAAUAAAAUAUCCUAUACAUCGGGAGUGGUAUAGACCCAUGCAAUUAUUAAAGUAGAAAAGAUAAUACUACCCGAAGAUAAAAGCAAAAGGAAAAGAAUUCACGAAGGAAAAAAAAUCAGGUAACAUCCUCCAUUUGACACACUAUUAUAUAUUUUCAUAACUCUACUUUAUUUUCCUUUUCUGAUAUGAAAAAAAAGGUUGCUAAGGACAGGGCUAGCUGUGUGCAGUUGUGUCAUUAUAUGGAAAAAGUUUGUUGACUAUCACAGGAAAUUUAGAUGCAGAAUUCAAUGAUAAAUUAAUCACAGUAGAACAUAGUAGCUGUGCACUAAAAUAUUGGAGAUUUUUUUGGUCUGGACUAAUAUAUAGAUUUCUGACCUGUUUUUAUUACUACUAUUACCAAAUGAUAAACUAUCAAAAUGAUUGAAUCUUUUCAAAUGCAGAUUAUAGUUUACAGAAUAAUAAAGAGUAGUAACAUUAAAGUCUAACUUGUCUAAAUUUUGAUUAAGUACAAAUCUUCAUUCUUAUUUCUUCUUCUUAUUAUUCCGACUGUUGUUGUUGUUAACGGUUAAGUGGUGUAUUAUCCAAUCUGUGAGCAGGUAAAUUUUGAUGUGCAAGUGGAUCAAUCAUAUCAUCAAGAAAAAAAGAGCUAUAUAGACAAAAGGCUUUCACUAAAAAACAAAAAAGAAACAGGGAGUCCAACUCCAGCAUCAGCACUAAAGCUAGACAAGCUUCUCUAUGAUUAGGUGCUAGUCCUAAUCAUGUUCUAUAUGUUGCUGCUGCAUGUAGUAGUAGUAGUUGGAGGAGUAAUAAUUCAAGAUUGGCUUGUGUAGGUGAGUUCAACUUUUCAAAUGUGAAGAGAAUAGAAAAACUUUGUGGCAACAGUUCUGAUUUUGGCAUUGUGGUCGGAGUGAGAGCUCAGCUGUGGUAAUGGUUACCGCGCCAAUGUUAAACAUGAAGCCUACCUUGAGUCUUCCAUUUGUAUCCCUCAGAAGCCCGAAUUAGUGAGAAUCUAGCCAUCAGUAUUAAUCUUAUACCAACCCUCCUCUGGCGGAGACCAACCGAUGUCGAUAAUCUUGGUUGAGGUCUGAGCUGUGGAUGCCCGAAUUGUUAAAAAUUAAAUCAUUUCUGCUUCUCCAAGCUGCAUUGCAGGUAGUAACAAAAUAGGUAGGCCAAGCAUUCCCAUCCUUUCUUUGAGCAGUCCCGCAAAUAUUGUGCUUGAACCAAUCCUGGAAGUUUUGGUUGAAGAACUUGCCUUGUUGACUGCUAUCAACGCUGCUCAUCCAAGUUUCACGGAUAUAGUGACAAUCCCGGAGAACAUGGAGCAGGGUCUCUUCUUGGCCAGGGCACCUGGGACAGCACUCAUUGCUGGUAAGUCCUAUCCUUUUCCUCCUGGAAUUAGUGAGUAAAGCCUCAUGCAUUACUAGCCAUGAAAAAGCUUUAAGACGUUGUGGUAUAUUGAGCUUCCAAACAUCUCUAAAAUUUUUGUCUGUGUUCUCAUUAUUUGUAAAAUAGGCUUCAUAGGCAGAUUUAAUAGUGAAAUCUCCCUUAGGUUCUGGUAGCCAGCUGAUACUGUCUUCUCCUAAAUCAGAAUGAAGGGCUUUUAUAAUCUGGAUUAGCUCUAAAAUCUCCUCCGAAAGGAUUUGAUUUAGUUUGAACCAAUCCCAAUCUCCCUCUGCUCUCGCAUAAGCGGCCACCUUCUCAUCACUCCUAUCCCCGUCAAUGGGACUGAUAGCAAAAUUUUUUAGCGAGCCUAUGCCUGGCACCCAAUGAUCGUUCCAGAAUGAUAUCUUUUCACCAUUUCCAAUUCUCCAGAUGACAUUAGUGCUGAAUUUGUUCUAAAUCUUUGUAAUACCUCUCCAAGCAUUCGAACUACUAGCUUUAGAAAGCACCUUAGAAAUCGACUGAGUUCCACACCCAUAUUUUUCUUUCAUAACUCUGACCCAUAGGGAUUGAUUAUCCUAAAUAAGGCCCCAGGCUAAUUUCAUGAGGAAUAAAGGAUUUGUAUCUUCUGCCUUUUGAAUACCAAGUCCUCCCAUACUCUUCGGCUUGCAAAUAGUAUCCCACCUUAUUAAAUGGAUCUUUUUAUUCGCUUCAGUUUCACCCCAAAGAAAAUCUCUACAAAUCUUGUCUAUUUGAUUGCAAACUUUCUUCGGAAUCUUCAUGGUUUGCAUCACGUAGCUAGGGAUAGAUGAUAAGACUGACUGGAUAAGAGUACACCUUCCUGCAAAAGAGAGCGUCUUCAUGUUCCAGCUAGAGAGUUUAGCCUUCAUUUUGUCGAUGAUGAAUUGAAAAUGUUGCUUGUUGCACUUCUCAUGAAUGAGGGGAACACCAAGGUACUUUCCUAAGUUGCACGUUAGGUUGAUGCCCAAAUGUUGACUGAGUUCCUGCUUGAUGGUGUGAUUUACGUUAUUUGAGAAAAAAACACAAGAUUUUUGAAAAUUAACCCUUUGGUCAGAGCUAUCACAGAAAACCUUAAGUGUUUCUCUUAUGACAUUUACUUGAUCCUUACUAGCUUGUGCAAAUAAGACCAAAUCAUCUGCAAAGCAAAGAUGAGAGAGUUUAGGCCCAUUCCUAGAUAGCAUAAUAGGUUUCCACUUCCUAUCAUUAACUCGAGAGUUAAUAAGGUGGGAAAGUCUCUCAACGCAAAGAACAAAAAGGUAAGGUGAGAGGGGAUCUCCCUGUCUAAUGCCUCUGGAGGGACGAAAUUCUUCUGAUGGAGACCCAUUCCAAAUAAGGUUCAUAGUCGGCGUAGUUAUGCAAUACUCAAUGACAUUAAUCAAGUUCUCUGGUAAAUGAAUAUCCUUGAGGGUAUGUAAGAUGAAAUCCCAAUUGAGUCUAUCGUAUGCUUUCUCUAAGUCAAUUUUGACCGCCAUAAAGCCUUUUCCGCAAUUCUUUGUCCUCAUCGAAUGGAUCACUUCUUGAGCUACUAAAAUAUUAUUUGCACUAACCCUUCCUGGAACAAAACUAGCUUGAAUAUUUGCAAUAAGAAAAGACAUAUGGGGUUUAAGUCUUUCUACAACAAUCUUAGAAAUAAUCUUAUAAACAACAUUGCAGAGACUAAUAGGUCUAAAUUGAGUAAAAUUCUCAGGAGCAGGAGCUUUAGAAAUAAUAGAGAUGAGAGUCUGGUUAACGUUGUUGAUAUUUUUAGGUUCCUGAAAGAUAGACCGAACACAAGUAACCAAAGAAUCUUUUAUAGUGUCCCAAGAAAAUUAGAAGAAUUUAGCUGGAAAUAUAUAAAAAAAGUGUUAAA